UACGUAGGCAGCGAGCGUUGUUCGGAAUUACUGGGCGUAAAGAGUGUGUAGGCGGUGUUCCCAGUCUGUUGUGAAAUCUCCCGGCUUAACUGGGAGGGUGCAGCGGAAACUAGAAUGCUAGAGGGUGGGAGAGGUAAGCGGAAUUCCUGGUGUAGCGGUGAAAUGCGCAGAUAUCAGGAAGAACACCCGUGGCGAAGGCGGCUCUCUGGGACGGUACUGACGCUGAGACGCGAAAGCGUGGGGAGCGAACAGG
This 253-nucleotide ribosomal RNA is filed under the name uncultured bacterium. RNAcentral's name for it is "partial 16S ribosomal RNA". It matches the Rfam family "Bacterial small subunit ribosomal RNA", at positions 524 to 776 of the family's 1533-position model. The record is from RNAcentral.